Molecule: ribosomal RNA, 484 nt
Filed under: uncultured bacterium
Lineage: Bacteria
Description: partial 16S ribosomal RNA
Rfam family: Bacterial small subunit ribosomal RNA
Source: RNAcentral
AUUGAACGCUGGCGGCAGGCCUAACACAUGCAAGUCGAGCGGAUGAAGGGAGCUUGCUCCUGGAUUCAGCGGCGGACGGGUGAGUAAUGCCUAGGAAUCUGCCUGGUAGUGGGGGAUAACGUCCGGAAACGGGCGCUAAUACCGCAUACGUCCUGAGGGAGAAAGUGGGGGAUCUUCGGACCUCACGCUAUCAGAUGAGCCUAGGUCGGAUUAGCUAGUUGGUGGGGUAAAGGCCUACCAAGGCGACGAUCCGUAACUGGUCUGAGAGGAUGAUCAGUCACACUGGAACUGAGACACGGUCCAGACUCCUACGGGAGGCAGCAGUGGGGAAUAUUGGACAAUGGGCGAAAGCCUGAUCCAGCCAUGCCGCGUGUGUGAAGAAGGUCUUCGGAUCGUAAAGCACUGUAAGUUGGGAGGAAGGGCAGUAAGUGAAUACCUUGCUGUUUUGACGGUACCAACAGAGUAAGCACCGGCUAACUUCGUG